AACAUUCUUCAGGGCAGGGCGUAAUUCCCGACCGGCGGUAAAAGUCCGCGAACCUUACGAGGUUGAUCCAGUGAAACUCUGGAGCCGACAGUAUAGUCUGGAUGGAAGAAGAAUGGA
RNAcentral lists this non-coding RNA (117 nucleotides) under Tetragenococcus halophilus. RNAcentral describes it as "FMN sequence". It matches the Rfam family "FMN riboswitch aptamer (RFN element)". From Rfam's summary of the family: The RFN element is a highly conserved domain that is found frequently in the 5'-untranslated regions of prokaryotic mRNAs that encode for flavin mononucleotide (FMN) biosynthesis and transport proteins. This element is a metabolite-dependent riboswitch that directly binds FMN in the absence of proteins. Lineage: Bacteria; Bacillati; Bacillota; Bacilli; Lactobacillales; Enterococcaceae. The record is from RNAcentral.